This 435-nucleotide ribosomal RNA is filed under the name uncultured bacterium. RNAcentral's name for it is "partial 16S ribosomal RNA". It matches the Rfam family "Bacterial small subunit ribosomal RNA", at positions 29 to 507 of the family's 1533-position model. The record is from RNAcentral.
AGCGAACGCUGGCGGCAGGCUUAACACAUGCAAGUCGAGCGGGCACUUUCGGGUGUCCGCGGCGGACGGGUGCGUAACGCGUGGGAACGUGCCCUCUGGUUCGGAAUAACUCAGGGAAACUUGAGCUAAUACCGGAUACGCCCUUUUGGGGAAAGGCUUGCUGCCGGAGGAUCGGCCCGCGUCUGAUUAGCUAGUUGGUGAGGUAACGGCUCACCAAGGCGACGAUCAGCAGCUGGUCUGAGAGGAUGAUCAGCCACACUGGGACUGAGACACGGCCCAGACUCCUACGGGAGGCAGCAGUGGGGAAUAUUGGACAAUGGGCGCAAGCCUGAUCCAGCCAUGCCGCGUGAGUGAUGAAGGCCUUAGGGUUGUAAAGCUCUUUUAUCCGGGACGAUAAUGACGGUACCGGAGGAAUAAGCCCCGGCUAACUUCGUG